UAGGUCUAACUCAUAUUGUUAUCAGAAAAAUAUAAGGUAUAAGAUAAAAUAAUCCCAGAAAAAUAAUUAAAAUGGCCUUAUUACAACCCAAAACCAAAUAAUAAUAUUAAUAAGAUAAAACUUAUAAAGAAAUAAAUCAGCUACUUAUUGCAAUUAAAAGAAACAGAAACAGUAGUGUGGCCAUCUUCAAGUCCCUCGCAGCUCCAAACCAUCUAAGCUUUGGGAUUACCUGCACAGUUAGAAACGGGGUGAGUUUACGAAAACUCAGUGUGCAACCCCAAUAACAAACAAACAGUAAAUAACACGGUAUCAGUACAAUCUGGGCCAAAGCCCUAUUUAGUCUUGACAUAUACUGGGCUGAAGCCUUUCCAAAAAUCAUAUCACUGGGCCGAAGCCUUUUCAUAAAUCAUAUCACUGGGCCGAAGCCUUUUCAUAAUAUAUCACUGGGCUGAAGCCUUUACUGUAAACGGUAUGGCCCUUAGGCCCAUUUCAAUAUCACAUGUAAUGUCAAUGGAUGUAUGCAAGCUCAUUUCAAUAUCAUAUGUAAUGCCAAUGAAUGUAUGCAAGCCCAUUUCAGUAUCACAUGUAAUGUCAAUGAAUGUAUGCAAGCCCAUUUGGGGAGACUACUCGACUCACCAUCCGCUACUCUCCACCCGUGCCAACCAAGCUCUCCAUAUGGGGAAUAACUCAACCCACCCAACCAAACUCUCCACUGGCAGCAUAGCUGCUUUAUCAUAUAACUGGAGGCCUAGCCUCUUUCAAUAACUGGGGCAAAGCCCUUUCUGAUAAACUGGGGCAAAGCCCUUUUCGGUAAACUGGGGCAGAGCCCUUUUAGCACUUCCUCCAUCAAUAUAACCCAUAUCCCAUGCAAUAUGUCAUGUAUGCAGAAUGUCAUGCCCAUAUUUGAAUCAAACAAUCACAGUCAAGUCAUUCAUAUCACCAACAUAUAUUCACAAUCAAAUCCGUCAACCAUACAGUCCAAGUCAGUCACUUGCCCACAAGGGCAAAACAGUCAUUUUUCAUAAGGGUAUUUUUGUAAUUUUACCAAAAAUUAGGGUUUUUCAUGUUCAUUACAAUUGUAAAUAUUUUCGAGUGUUUAAACAAUGAUCUUUAACCCACUUAUCAAAUUCGGGCUUUUGGGCCCAAAACCCCUAAUGGGCCCUACGAAUGCUAAUUUAGCCCACUAAGCCUGUUUAACCCAAAUUUUACAACAAUACUAACCGUGUUAACAUGCAAUUUUUCCAAAUUCCAUUUUCUAUCAAUUUUACUCAAAUAGGCCCAAAAGCCCAUUUGGCCCAAUUCCUACCCAUUGAGGUCCAACUUACCAUAGUGCACAAAAUUGAGUUCUUACCUGUUCCAUCGAUCCAAAAAUCGAUCUUAUCGUAUUUAUCGCAUCUAUAGCCACACGCAACAUUACAAGUUCCCGAAAUGCCGGUAUUUUAGCAUUUCGGCCUCUUAGCAGAUAUUAAUCUAAGCUGCUACGAGGGUUAGUACACACCUGUUAUGGGUUGAAGUUGAAACGUUUCCAUAAUCAAUCACCUACGAUAACCACCACCUGUCACUCAAACUUAACUAAUCCAAUAUCAAUAUAUGUAAAUCCUAAGCACAUCAGUCAUACGGAACAUAAGGGCAUAUUCGUCAUUUUACCAUACAGGGGUAUUACGGUCACUUUACCCUAUAGGGGCUUUACGGUCUUUUUACCUAUUAGGGGUAUUUUAGUCAUUUCAUCCUACAAGGGUGUUUUGGUAAAUCUACAAACCAAGGGUAUUUCAGUAACUUUGUAAACCAAUGGUAUUUCAAUAAUUUUUAGAAAGUCAAAGGUAUUUCUGUAAUUUUGUAAAUCAAGGGUAUUUUGGUAAUUUUACAAACUAGGGGUAUUUUGGUAAUUUUACAAACUAGGGGCAUUUUGGUAAUUCUAUCCUACAGGGGGAUUUCAGUAAUUUCACAAUCGAGGGUAAAACGGUAAUUUUUUAAACUGAGGGUAAAAUGGUAAUUUUGUAAAUCGAGGGUAAAACGGUAAUUCUGUAAAUCAAGGGUAAAAUGGUAAUUCUAUAAAUCGAGGAUAAAAUGGUAAUUUUGUAAAUCGAGGGUGAAACGGUAAUUCUAUAAAUCGAAGGUAAAAUGGUAAUUCUACAAAUUGAGGGCAUUUCAGUAAUUUGGUAAACUAAAGUAUUCUAAACAGGGAUAACAAUACGAAUGGGCCUAAAGCCUAUUAUCAGCCCAAAUGGGCCCACACGCUCGUGUGGCCUUUUUAGCCCAAAUCUAGCCACAAAUAUGAGAUUCACCUAGCCUAGUACAAUAUUUACUACAUAAUCAAACAACUUAUCCAAUUGGGCUCAUAGGCCCAUUGGGCCCACAUGGCCCCUUUCGACCCAUCGCGGCCCGAAGUAGCCAUUCUACAACUAGAGUAGCGAGAAAACACACACCUGAUAGGAGACUGGAGUUAAUCCACGCUCUGAGCACUCUUAGCCGACGCCCAACCCAAACGAGCACGCCAUACAGCGAAAGGG
Molecule: long non-coding RNA, 2510 nt
Filed under: Gossypium barbadense (sea-island cotton)
Lineage: Eukaryota; Viridiplantae; Streptophyta; Magnoliopsida; Malvales; Malvaceae
Description: long non-coding RNA (GBAR_LNC010500)
Source: RNAcentral